This 72-nucleotide transfer RNA is filed under the name Pangasianodon gigas (Mekong giant catfish). RNAcentral describes it as "tRNA-Glu". It matches the Rfam family "tRNA". Rfam says of the family: Transfer RNA (tRNA) molecules are approximately 80 nucleotides in length. Their secondary structure includes four short double-helical elements and three loops (D, anti-codon, and T loops). Lineage: Eukaryota; Metazoa; Chordata; Actinopteri; Siluriformes; Pangasiidae. The record is from RNAcentral.
UCCCUGGAGGAUUAGUGGUUAGGCCUCGGCGCUCUCACCACCGCGGCCCGGGUUUAAUUCUUGGCCAGGGAA